AUAAAAGGAUACCUUCGGGUAUACCCCAUCCGUGUCUACAUACUCUUGUUGCUUUGGCAGGCCGUGGUCUUCCACUGUGGGCUCUGCCUGCAUGUGCCUGCCAGAGGACCAAACUCUGAAUGUUAGUGACUGUCUGAGUACUAUAUAAUAGUUA
RNAcentral lists this unclassified non-coding RNA (154 nucleotides) under soil metagenome. Its description in RNAcentral is "partial internal transcribed spacer 1". The record is from RNAcentral.